RNAcentral lists this long non-coding RNA (576 nucleotides) under Manacus vitellinus (golden-collared manakin). RNAcentral's name for it is "lncRNA (ENSMVIG00005017069.1)". Lineage: Eukaryota; Metazoa; Chordata; Aves; Passeriformes; Pipridae. The record is from RNAcentral.
UCUGCAGUAACAUUUAAUUUUCUUAUUAUUGUGUCUCUCUGCAGCUGUUUCCAACCUAGAUGAAGAGAGUAGAUGGUCUGUGCACUAUACUGCUCCAUGGCACCAGCAGGAAAAUGUCUUCCUACCCUCCUCAAGACCACCUUGUGUGGAGGACCUGCACAGACAAGCCAAGCUGAACCUCAAGUCAGUACUGAGAGAGUGUGACAAGCUGCGGCGGGAUGGCUACCGGAGCUCACAGUAUUACUCUCAGGGCCCCACCUUCUCCUCGUCCUCCAGUGCAAUCUGUGGAAGUUACCAGGAUGAUUAUGAAGAAAUUGAACAAAAGUGUCCUGUCUCUCCCCCUGAAGAGGAAAAGCUUAUUACCAUCAAAAGGCCUAAAAGUCCAGCUUCAAAUGAGUUAUCAGAUAUCAACACCCAAACCAACUGGACUAAGUCACUCCCACUGCCAACUCCAGAAGAGAAAAUGCGACAACAAGCACAGGCCGUUCAAACAGAUGUGGUUCCUAUUAAUGUGACUGGUAGGCUUUUAAUUUCAGUAAUUGCAUUACACUGAUGAGGGAGGGAAGGAAUAAAAGG